UAGGGAAUCUUCCGCAAUGGACGAAAGUCUGACGGAGCAACGCCGCGUGAGCGAUGAAGGCCUUCGGGUCGUAAAGCUCUGUUGUCAGAGAAGAACAAGUAUCGGAGUAACUGCCGGUACCUUGACGGUACCUGACCAGAAAGCCACGGCUAACUACGUGCCAGCAGCCGCGGUAAUACGUAGGUGGCAAGCGUUGUCCGGAAUUAUUGGGCGUAAAGCGCGCGCAGGCGGUUCCUUAAGUCUGAUGUGAAAGCCCCCGGCUCAACCGGGGAGGGUCAUUGGAAACUGGGGAACUUGAGUGCAGAAGAGGAGAGCGGAAUUCCACGUGUAGCGGUGAAAUGCGUAGAGAUGUGGAGGAACACCAGUGGCGAAGGCGGCUCUCUGGUCUGUAACUGACGCUGAGGCGCGAAAGCGUGGGGAGCGAACAGG
RNAcentral lists this ribosomal RNA (429 nucleotides) under Bacillota bacterium. RNAcentral's name for it is "Firmicutes bacterium partial 16S ribosomal RNA". It matches the Rfam family "Bacterial small subunit ribosomal RNA", at positions 355 to 776 of the family's 1533-position model. Lineage: Bacteria; Bacillati; Bacillota. The record is from RNAcentral.